GCUAAUUUGGUGUAAUGCGCACAUUGGCCUUUCAUGCCAAAAGAACAUAAACUUGUACUUAGCU
Molecule: transfer RNA, 64 nt
Filed under: Margaritifera falcata (western pearlshell)
Lineage: Eukaryota; Metazoa; Mollusca; Bivalvia; Unionida; Margaritiferidae
Description: tRNA-Glu
Source: RNAcentral